AUUGAACGCUGGCGGCAUGCCUAACACAUGCAAGUCGAACGGUAACAGGCCCUUCGGGGUGCUGACGAGUGGCGGAUGGGUGAGUAAUACUUAGGAAUCUACCCUGUAGUGGGGGACAACCCGGGGAAACUCGGGCUAAUACCGCAUACGCUCUACGGAGGAAAGCGGGGGACCGCAAGGCCUCGCGCUAUUGGAUGAGCCUAAGCCCGAUUAGCUAGUUGGUGGGGUAAUAGCCUACCAAGGCAAUGAUCGGUAGCUGGUCUGAGAGGACGACCAGCCACACUGGGACUGAGACACGGCCCAGACUCCUACGGGAGGCAGCAGUGGGGAAUAUUGGACAAUGGGCGAAAGCCUGAUCCAGCGAUGCCGCGUGUGUGAAGAAGGCCUGCGGGUUG
Molecule: ribosomal RNA, 395 nt
Filed under: uncultured bacterium
Lineage: Bacteria
Description: bacterial SSU rRNA
Rfam family: Bacterial small subunit ribosomal RNA
Source: RNAcentral